This 496-nucleotide ribosomal RNA is filed under the name uncultured bacterium. Its description in RNAcentral is "partial 16S ribosomal RNA". It matches the Rfam family "Bacterial small subunit ribosomal RNA", at positions 29 to 507 of the family's 1533-position model. The record is from RNAcentral.
AUGCACGCUGGCGGCGUGCCUAAUACAUGCAAGUCGAGCGAACAGACGAGGAGCUUGCUCCUCUGACGUUAGCGGCGGACGGGUGAGUAACACGUGGAUAACCUACCUAUAAGACUGGGAUAACUUCGGGAAACCGGAGCUAAUACCGGAUAAUAUAUUGAACCGCAUGGUUCAAUAGUGAAAGACGGUUUUGCUGUCACUUAUAGAUGGAUCCGCGCCGCAUUAGCUAGUUGGUAAGGUAACGGCUUACCAAGGCAACGAUGCGUAGCCGACCUGAGAGGGUGAUCGGCCACACUGGAACUGAGACACGGUCCAGACUCCUACGGGAGGCAGCAGUAGGGAAUCUUCCGCAAUGGGCGAAAGCCUGACGGAGCAACGCCGCGUGAAUGAUGAAGGUCUUCGGAUCGUAAAACUCUGUUAUUAGGGAAGAACAAAUGUGUAAGUAACUAUGCACGUCUUGACGGUACCUAAUCAGAAAGCCACGGCUAACUACGUG